AGGUCAAGUGAAGAAGGGCGCACGGUGAAUGCCUUGGCACUGGAAGCCGAUGAAGGACGCGACUAACCGCGAAAGUCUUCGGGGAGCCGUAAGUAGGCUUUGAUCCGGAGGUCUCCGAAUGGGGGAACCCAGCAUGUGCAGACAUGCUAUCCUUAAGUGAAUACAUAGCUUAAGGAGGGAACACGCAGUGAACUGAAACAUCUAAGUAGCUGCAGGAAGAGAAAGAAAUAUCGAUUUCCCAAGUAGCGGCGAGCGAACAGGAAAGAGCCCAAACCGGCAGAUUUAUCUGCCGGGGUUGUAGGACUGAGACAUGGCACUUCAGAGGAUAGCAGAAGCGUUUGGGAAAGCGCGCCAGAGAGGGUGAGAGCCCCGUAAGCGAAAUCCAAAGAAGGCCUAUCAGUAUCCUGAGUAGGGCGGGACACGUGAAAUCCCGUUUGAAUCCGCGAGGACCAUCUCGCAAGGCUAAAUACUAACCAGUGACCGAUAGUGAACCAGUACCGUGAGGGAAAGGUGAAAAGAACCCCGGGAGGGGAGUGAAAGAGAACCUGAAACCGUGUGCCUACAAGUAGUCAGAGCC
This 577-nucleotide ribosomal RNA is filed under the name Lactobacillus delbrueckii subsp. bulgaricus. RNAcentral describes it as "partial 23S ribosomal RNA". It matches the Rfam family "Bacterial large subunit ribosomal RNA", at positions 1 to 581 of the family's 2925-position model. The record is from RNAcentral. Lineage: Bacteria; Bacillati; Bacillota; Bacilli; Lactobacillales; Lactobacillaceae.